Molecule: ribosomal RNA, 372 nt
Filed under: uncultured organism
Description: partial 16S ribosomal RNA
Rfam family: Bacterial small subunit ribosomal RNA
Source: RNAcentral
GUAGGUGGCAAGCGUUGUCCGGAAUUAUUGGGCGUAAAGCGCGCGCAGGCGGUUCUUUAAGUCUGAUGUGAAGGCCCACGGCUCAACCGUGGAGGGUCAUUGGAAACUGGAGAACUUGAGUACAGAAGAGGAAAGCGGAAUUCCACGUGUAGCGGUGAAAUGCGUAGAGAUGUGGAGGAACACCAGUGGCGAAGGCGGCUUUCUGGUCUGUAACUGACGCUGAGGCGCGAAAGCGUGGGGAGCAAACAGGAUUAGAUACCCUGGUAGUCCACGCCGUAAACGAUGAGUGCUAAGUGUUAGGGGGUUUCCGCCCCCCUUAGUGCUGCAGCUAACGCAUUAAGCACUCCGCCUGGGAGUACGGCCGCAAGGCUG